This is a long non-coding RNA of Bombus terrestris (buff-tailed bumblebee), 5086 nucleotides long. RefSeq lists it as uncharacterized. The transcript has 5 exons. NCBI's taxonomy places the organism in Eukaryota, Metazoa, Arthropoda, Insecta, Hymenoptera, Apidae. The record is from RefSeq and is a predicted model, not a curated record.
GGAAAACGACUUACCUAUGGACUAUAUGGUUAUAUCAAACCUCAAGAUUACGAGGGAGGUCUUGCUUAAUGGUACAAAGGCGGUUCUCAGUAAACGUGAAGGUUAUAGGAACGGCCUCUCGAAUUCCUUCGUUGUAAAGUUCGGUUGAUAGAGGACGAGGAUCAUAGUUUGAGCAACGUUGACCUAGAAUAUCUGGUGGAAAAGCGACGAAAGCGGACAGGUACCCGCAGAGAGGCAAAGCGAUAACAAAGCUCUCGCGGGGAGGCUGAAUUGUCGUGGAAUCCUUUGAAAUACGAGAUUGCACCGUCUCGGUGUGUUUCUUCGUUCGCUGGCUGCAAGAUUUCCGUUAGCCUGGGCGAAUCUUUUUCAACGGCAUGGCUACUCGAGCCUUUCGAAUUAUCGAUCCUCAUUGUUGGAGCCGCGGAUGCGACCAAGAGUAUUAUGCGCCAGAAAGAAGCCUCGUUGUUGCUUGCUGUUCCUCUUUCCUACGCGGUCCUUUCUCCAACAAGCCAUAGGCUUGUGUGAAGGUAGCAUUCGAUUUUUAGCUUUAUUUCUCAAUAAGAGGAAAAUAAUGUUACGGAAUGGUGAAAUUUGCUGUAUCUAAAAAAAUCUCUUCUACUGGAAUAUUGAUAGCUAGUCGUCAUUCCCUAUGCGAACUGGAAUGUUCAAAAUAAAAAAUUCUUUUUGAUUCAUAAACUAGGAAAACGUAUGUAGUAUGAGAGUUUCCCGAAAUUUUCAUGGUUUGUAAAAAUGGAAGUAGUCUGAAGGAAGAAGAAAUUUUUUAACAAAAAGAAAUCAGUUUUAGAAACGUUUGAAAAAUCAAAUAAUUUAGAUGUCAAAAGAUAUUUCUGAUUUUGUUUUUUGUUUUGUCAAUAAGAAGAAGAAAUUGUUUUUUCAAUAAGAAGAAGAAAUAAUACACGUUGAGUGUUUCAAUAAAAUUAGAGUUACCUAAAAAUAAAUUAGGAAAGACAAUUUGGACAAAGAAUCUUAAUUUCUUUAAAACUAUCUAUUGUACAGAGUUCAUUGCCUGAAGAAAGUGCUUUAUAAAAAAGUUUUAAUGAAGAGAAUAAAUUUUCCAUUUAAAAUAAUAUUUCCUUACAAAUACAAAAAGUAUUAACUUUCUAAAAAGUGUUCAGACUGCGUAGGUAUGUACAAUGUACAUAUUUAUCGCGCGCCACGAGAUUUAAAAAAGGUUCCAAAAGAGAUGAAAGGUUGAUGGUGAAGCCUAGGUGAGUACAGAAAGGGGGAGGGGGGGAAGAGGAAAUAUUGAAGGGAAGAGGAAAGAAGAUUUGUCGCGUACGUACGAAAUAAAAAGCACUCGAGCGACGAAACUAUAACGGAAUGGAAGAUGAAACCUUCUAGUGAUUCCUCGGGAAGGAAAGUGGAGGGAAGGAAUGGGACAUUGAGGGGCAAGUUCAAAGAAGAUUACAGGGGGAAACAUCGAACAGCGAGACAUGGAUCCGUUGAGAAGCUUUCUACGAAUUUACUUGCUCGAAUUACUGAAAGAGUACCAUAAUAUCGCCAUUUUAUAUACGUAACGUUUUAUUUCAUGCUCAUAAUUCACAAAUAAAUUUCGUGAUCUGUCAUAACAUUUAUUUAACCCUCUAUAAGUUUAAUGUGUCACCUAAAAAUUAUAUGUUCAUGUAUCCAUAUACCGUGAGUAUAAAAAAAAUUUCCAGUUAAAGAGUAGCUUUUUUUCAGUUUAAAUUAUAUAUUAAUAGUAUUCAGCUUGCAACAAUAUUUGCGAUAUUGUAUUUCAUAUAAUCAAUUAUAUUAUAUUUUUGUAAUGGACUUUUAUUUUUCAGAUUAAUGGUGUUCUUUUUAUAUCCUAAGAAAGCCAAGUUUCAGUUAUAAGUAGUAUAGGUCAGCUAUAUUGAAUUACUGGGGUGAACGAAGUCAAAUGUUUUAUGAUAUUGUAGUAUACAGAAGAACGUAGAUACAAAUUAUUUUAUAUUAUCAGACAUUAUAUUAUUCACUGUGUUUUAUGAGUUUCUAUCAUUUGCAGGUUUGAAGUUCUAUUUUCUAAUGGAUAAUAACAAUUGCGAAUAGAAAAAAAAGAAUUGUAUAAAUAAAGUUUUGUAAAUGUUUCAGAUUUUGGAGAAUAAAAAUUAAAUUACCAAGCACUGUAUAAUUCUCUAAUUUAGGAAUUCUUACAAGUUUGAAAUUCUAAAAUUUUCGAACUAAAAAUUAAUAUAAAAUAAAGGAGUAGAAGAGAAGAACUAAAAAGGACUACGAAUAAAAUUAUAUAUUUUAUUUUUUGAGAAACAUAAAUUUUAAAUUACUAACCAUUAUUAUUCUAUAUAUUAUAAAUGUUCACAAUGUUCCACCCUCCUCGUUCCAUUAUCUUAUAAAAUAAAACUCUGAAAUAAGAAUUUCGAAGAAAAAUAUUCUUCGAAAUAAAGUUUCGUACUUUAGCUUUUAAAGAGUAUACGUUACACGAAGAGCCGUCGAUUAUGCGAAACUUUACUUAGAAGGUGUUCGAAUCGAUCAAUCCUCCUUGCACACGUAACCAUGAAAUUUUAAUGGAACUUUCGUCCACUUCACUAAAGUAUUGGAACUAAAAAAAAAAAAAAAAAGGAAAGAAAAAAAGGAAGAGGGAAAAAUGUUGAAGUUCAAGCGAGAAAUUCUUCAACGAGAAAAUCAUCAUAUCGUAUAAAAGCGAUGGAAUGACAAAUAUUGAAUCAUUGAACAGAUUUGAAAAUUUCCCGAAUUUUCAUUAUUCAUUAUCGAAUUGUUAUUCUGAAUAUUUAAUCCAGCGAGGGAGAGAGAACAAAGUCAUUUAAUUAUUAUUCCGAACGAAAAGUCGCUGGGAAUGAAGGGGAACUGUUAUAAAUUCCGUAGAACGUAACGAACCGUAUUAUCACCUUACCAUCAAGUAUCAUGUCGCAAGCUCGGUGGUCGUGUGGAGUUUAUGCAAUAAAUUCAACUUCACCAUCCAAACAACUCAUAAAAUAUUCAACGCUGACCUACAAUCUGUUCAUCAUUUGAAUAUCGUGUCACGGACAUAACAACAUCCACUUCUGCACGGAUUUCGUUAUGAUAAUUCACGAUCCUUGAUACAGAUAACAGAUUUACCGGGCUGAUCAUUCAUACCGGUUAUUAGAUUCGACGUAUUCUGAAUUGUUCUCACACGAUGACGAAAUAUUUCAUCCGUAUCGGAGUAAUUAAUCAGUUGCUUUGAACUGGAUCCACAAAUAUACCAGAGACCUUAACAUUUUGGAAGAAGAUAUAUAUGAAUCUAUUAAGAAUCAAACUGAUCAAUUUUACUUUCUGUUAACAACUGAAUUUUGUUGACAAUUUCAUUAUUCAGAUACGUUAUUAGAAUUUAAUUUCUUAGGAAAGAAAAUAUUUAAUUUUAAAUAUUAAAUUUUUUAAUGUUUUAGAAGUAAAAGUGAUUAACUCUACUGUUUCUUAAUUUAUUCGUUCUAUUAUUAUUUUAUUAUUCAAUAUUUGAUACGCACCAUUCGGUUGAAUUUCAUGGUUUACUUUCACCAAAAAAAUGUUUUUAAACUAUCGAAAGAACUACUGCAUAACACGUUGAUAUCACAAAAUUUGUUGAGAUUUUUCGAAAGGUUAGAACAAUGAAAAAAAUGAAUAGGAAAAUAAACGACCCACGUUCACAAUGAGAUGCAAGAAAACCAACCUUUAAAGUUUCAAACAUUCCAUUUAACAAAAUUUUACGACACACUAAAGACAUAUUAACAAACUUCCUAAAAUUUCUUCAAAUUAUUUAGUCAACUAAAUUUAGCCAACCAAAAGAAUUAGAUUUUUAACGCGAACGACCCAGUUCCAUUGCAAGGUGUGUGAACAACUAUACAACCAACAACAGAUUGAUAGAAAAAGAAAUAAAUAAAAACAAUGAUCGAACGAUAGUCCGAAAGAGACCGCAUUAAUCAGAGAAAUUCAAUAACGUAAUCAUUUACCGAUACGCGAACAGAAACCAUCGAACAAUGAGGCUGAGUGAAUUUUCGUAAUAAGAAAUCGAAUGGAGAGCGCUUUGUUCUCGGGGUGGCUUUUAUGCGCGUUUAAUGUUCCACUGUUGGAAUCGACGUAUUGCCAAGCUCGGUCUGCCCUGGUAGAAAGUGCAAAGAUACGUUGUGACGAUAGUGGCGGAAGAAAAGGAGAAGAAAAAAAAAGGUUGACCAGGAGAAUUUGUAGUUGGAAGAAUACAGCAGAUAUCUUCGGUAUAGAUCUGGCCGCGGGUGACAAUGGCGGCCACAGCUAUUGGCCCGUUUCACAAGCACGGUCCAUAUCAAUACCCCUUUGUUGCACAUGACUGAGUCUCGGAUAAAAUUCGCUUUCUCUCUCUCUCUCUCUCUUUCUGUUUUCUAUCUUCUACUUUCCUCGUGGAUGGCAGAAAGCCGAGAAAUAAUGCGCAAACUUUUACAGCGGAUGAAAUCCUUUGGAAAAAUAUUUCUUACGCUUCUAUGGAACACUUGGAGCGUGCCGAUGCGUUUUUGUUCCGAACGCUAUACUUUCGACCACUGUAGCGCGCAACCCUUGCUACCUUGGACAGAUUUUGUUCUACAGAGUAUCCCAGUAAUGAUGAUACAAUGGACAAGAGGGCGACCCUACGUGAGGAAGCAAGUGGAAAGUGCAGUAUAAACAGUUUUUCUCAUGGCGUUAUGUUACUGAGAAAAUGGAGUUUAAACGAAUUUGUUUAGUAUGUGGUGUAAACAUAAAAUGUGCAAAUAGCUAUGAGGAAAUUUAUAUUUUCUUUUUAUGAAUAUAUUUAUACUUGUAAAAAGAAAUUUCAUAUGUUCUUGUGUUGAAUGAUUCGUAGUUUAAAUAAUUCCAUAUGUCCAAAUAUAAAAGUCAUUGACCACUUAGUUUAAAUAGACACUUUCUUUUUAUAAACGAUGUUAUAGUUCUAAAUGCAAAUUUCGCAUAUUUCUAUUUUUAAUGAUCGCUAGUUUAGGUAGCAUCAUGUAUUCGAAUAUAAAAGACGCUGAUUAAUUUCAAUUAGCAAUCGUAUACUGCGUACAACAUUUCUUGGGUGAAAAUUUAUGAUCUCUUUCUUGAUGAAUAAAUGUAUAUUUCAUACGCAUAUUAUCGAAUAAUUUCGUUAAUUUACACAUAAAACACA